Long non-coding RNA from Capsicum annuum, 1500 nucleotides. RefSeq lists it as uncharacterized. The transcript has 4 exons. Lineage: Eukaryota; Viridiplantae; Streptophyta; Magnoliopsida; Solanales; Solanaceae. The record is from RefSeq and is a predicted model, not a curated record.
UAUUUAGUAUAUGGUCCCAAAAAAUAUAGAAUUGAAGGCAUGAGCGGGGCUUUUUUGUUUUUUUUGUUCUUUUACCAGAAAUUAAAGCGCCAAUUUCUUUUCUUUACCAAAAGCUAAAGCGCUAAUUUAUAUGUAUAUGCCGAAAGUGAAACUUAAAAAAAAUUUCUUUUCUUGACAUUAAACUAUCAGUAAUUAAACCCUAGAGCUACAGUAAUCACUCACAUACUUCCAAUUUCCACAUCGAUCUGCUCUACGAGACAGAAUUUUUCUCGUAGCUCUAACCAAAAUCGAGGAAUUCCAAGCUCUGCCUAAUCUCAACGAGAGAGAGUUUUUCUCGCAGCUCUAACCUAAAUCGACGAAUUCCAGUGUUCUAGGCUCAGACAUGACCCCACCUCUAGAGUUUGAUAGCAGAUCUUGAUCCAAGGAAUGACUUUCCUGCUUCAAUUUUCAGUGUGGGUACAAAUUCAACUAGUUCAAAUGAUACAAGUCCUGCGAGUCUUAUGAAUGACAGCUGGGAAAGUAAACUUCAUAAUUAAUUCUCUUUUUUGUAAAGUUUUUUACCAGGAGUAUUUAACAGGUAUUGAUGCAACUUUAUUUUGGAGAGUAUUAGCUUAACCUACAUAUACAAGGGAGUCUAGAAUGUCUUCUAUUGAGUACAUCUGAUAGGCAUUAGUAUUAUUAUUAUUUAUUGAACUAGUGCUAGUGUUGGGUGCUGCUAAUUGAUUACAAAGGAUAUGUUAUCAGUUCGUUGGAGUAUCACAUCUUCAGAGAUGCAUCUUGUGGUGGAUAUACCUUCAAGAUCUGAUUGUUGAAAAUAGCUCCCAAUUCUCAGUCAAGAUAGGUUACAAUUUCAACGAGGGGAGGUGGGGUCGUGGCAAAGUUAUGCGAAGGGAGCAGGUAGUGCAGUGCAACAGAACUUUACAAAUGAGUUUGCUUUAGUGUUGAGGCACUCUCUUAGCUUGACCAGGAGAAGAGGCCACAUAAAGGUCCCUCCUCAUCAUGUGGCUGCUAUCAUGUUAAGAUCAAGAGUCAGUCUUUUUAGAAGGACUUGUCUCAAAUCUCAACCAAAUAACUAUUUAUCAUAUCCGCUUCAUUGUAGAGGUCUUGAACUAUCAUUUAAUGUGGCUCUGAAUAGGCUUCCAACAAGUUCUGGUCCGUUCCUUCGUGGCCAACCUUGUUUGUCUAAUGCUUUAAUUGCUGCGCUCAAAAGAGCAAAAGCUCAUCAGAGGAGAGGCUGCAUAGAGCAACAACAGUAGCAGCCACCUCUUUUAGCCAUUAAGGUUGAGCCGUAGCAGCCCAUUUUGUCCAUUUUAGAUGACCCUAGUGAGUAGGGUUAUGAGGGAAGUUGGUUUCUCUAGCAUUGCUAUUAAAAACAAUAGAGGAAUCUACUUCUUCAGUCUUUCACUGCUACAAUAAUCCACACCUACCUCUAAUAAGAAAGUAGAGACUAUUCUUUUAUGUUAGUAUAAGUUGACUUGCUAUAUCAGACUAGAUUUUCCA